UAGGGAAUCUUCCACAAUGGACGAAAGUCUGAUGGAGCAACGCCGCGUGAGUGAAGAAGGGUUUCGGCUCGUAAAACUCUGUUGUUAAAGAAGAACAUAUCUGAGAGUAACUGUUCAUACGUUGACGGUAUUUAACCAGAAAGUCACGGCUAACUACGUACCAG
Molecule: ribosomal RNA, 164 nt
Filed under: uncultured bacterium
Lineage: Bacteria
Description: partial 16S ribosomal RNA
Rfam family: Bacterial small subunit ribosomal RNA
Source: RNAcentral